Cucumis sativus (cucumber) is the source of this 466-nucleotide long non-coding RNA. RefSeq lists it as uncharacterized. The transcript has 3 exons. The record is from RefSeq and is a predicted model, not a curated record. Lineage: Eukaryota; Viridiplantae; Streptophyta; Magnoliopsida; Cucurbitales; Cucurbitaceae.
GAAAGUUUUAACCAUCCCUAAGUACCCUCAAAAUAUUUUUCUGCUUUGAAACUGAAAUGGCUUCUGGAUGCAAAUGUGGUGAUAGCUGCUCCUGUGGAGACAGCUGCAACUGCCAAUCUGGGUCCAUCACACAGGCAACGUCCCUGAUGAGUGGGUGCAGCUGUGGGAGCAGCUGCUCAUGUGACUCAUGCGACUGCAAGUGAAGCAUUUGGAAAGAAAAUGAAAAAAAAAAAGCUCAAACCAACAAAGCUUUUGAAUAAAAACGUUGAUGAACUGUCUGAAUUUCGUUCGUUUUCUUUUUCUUUUUUAUUUGUGAAAAGAUUGCCAUUGAAACUGUAAGUCCAUAUAUGCAUGGAAUAUGGUUUUUUAUGGUUUCUUUGUGUGAAAGUGAAAGCCUAUGUUAUGCUUUGUUGUGGAUUGAGGUUCUUAAUUAUCAAUGCCUUAAGUGUGUUGAAUUUGUGUGUUC